GCAUACACAUACAUUCAUAGCGGGUACGCGGGUUUACAGCAUGGCUAUAACAUUUUCAUACAUGCGAGAAAAACCCAUCGAGUUGAGAAUUAAACCCGCACUCAUACCCACGGGUAAAAAUUCACACUCAAACCCACUCUAUGUAGGGUUUUUACCCGCGGGCACGCGGGUACAAUGUGCCCGUUGCCAGGGGCGGAUAUUGGGCCUGGGCCAUGACCCAGGUCGUAGCUCAAAUUAUCUUUAUAUAUGCAUAGAAUUUUGGCCCAAAAAACCCUAACGGGCCUCACACAAAGGCUUGCUAGGCUGCUACUUCCCUGCCUUGGCUGACGAGUGACGGCUCCUCCACGGCUCCACCUGCUUGGCUGCCCCCGGCGCGUGCCCUUGCCGUUCGUCAUCCAGCGUGGUGUCUGGCCUUCUCGGCUCCUCACCGUGUGGCGUCCUCCGCCAAUCCACCGCUGCGUCCGUCCAGCCGGCCAGGGCUAGCGCCAGGCGCUGCUCCAGGCUCCAACUCCAGGCUCCACUCCAGCUCUCUACCUUGCUCCAAGGCCAGUGCCCUCCACUUUGCCCCUCGGCCAGUGCACAGUCGGCCUCCAUCCACUGCUCCACACGCCUCCAGGCUCCAACUAUUGACAUCAAAACAAGAGAAUAAAGAGGAGAAAAACAUGGAGAUCAUUUUAUUGCCCGACUCCUACACCUUUGAUACAAACUGAUUUAUCAACACCAAACCAACCUUCCCUAAAAGAACCUGUUAUAGAAUCAGAAACAUUAGGUGUUGAGGAGGGACAAGUAUCAUUAGAGAGAGAAGGUAGUAAUGCAAAUGAAUUGGUGGGUUUAAGAGAUAGCAAUAAUGUCGAUCAAGUUAUAGCCGAUCCUGGUCUUCGCAUGCCAAUUGAGCAAAUUGAUACAAACAUUAGGGAUGCUGCCAGAAGAGCAUAUAUUGCGAAGGGUCCAUGCCAACCAAAAGGUCAUAAGUAUCCUAAAUGAAUGAUAGGCAAUCACAAUAGGUCUUUUCAUGAUGAAUGGUAUGUAAAUAAUCUAUGGUUGGAGUAUAACAUUGCCAAGGAUGUGGCCUUUUGUUUUUAUUGCUAUCUAUUUAAACAACCAAGAGCUGAAAUUAUGGUGUUGAUGCCUUCACGGUUGUUGGGUUUCGUCGAUGGAAAGAUGGACAUGAAACCAUUGGAGCUCAUGGUAAUGGCAUAGAUCACAAUAAGUCUAGAAGGUCCUAUGAGGACUACAAAAAUCAGAGACAAAGUGUGUCUCAUGUGAUGAAUCGAGGGGGUAAAAAGAUGGAAGAGGAAUAUAAAGGUCGUUUGCUUGUUAUAUCAGGAGUUAUAAGAUUUCUUUUAUUGCAAGCACUUGCUUUUCGUGGACAUGAUGAAUCCUCUACCUCAAGCAAUAAGUGAAACUUUUUAGAGUUGCUACAGUGGUACAAAGACAAGGAUAAAAAUGUAGCAAAUUUGCUUCGUACUAAUCAGAUGACUUCACUUGAUAUCCAAAAAGAUAUUUGUAGAGCUUAUGCAGAGCAGACCACCAAAGCUAUUAUUUCAGAUAUCGGGAAUAGAAACUUUUCCAUUCUUGUUGAUGAGGCUCGAGAUGUUUCUAUCAAGGAGCAAAUGGCGGUUGUUUUGGGGUAUGUCAAUGAACGAGGCGAAGUGAUUGAGAGAUUUCUUGGGUUACAAGAGGUUCAAAUUCACGUGCUAAUGUCGAUGAAGUUAUUAGAGGCGGGGAAGGACCAAAUCAUCUCUAAUUAGUUACUUUUAUAUUUUUUUAUCAAGUUUAUUGUAUUUUUAGAUGUUGAAUUGAGGUAAAUACUAUCUUAGUCUAUGUUUGUGGUAUAUUUUGUUCUAGCGGUAUAUUUAGCCACAUAAUAUAUGGGGGCUGUUUAAAGUAACUUUCAAGUUUUCUAGAGUAACUCGGGACGUUAAUUUUAUA
Long non-coding RNA from Zea mays, 1932 nucleotides. RefSeq lists it as uncharacterized. The record is from RefSeq and is a predicted model, not a curated record. Lineage: Eukaryota; Viridiplantae; Streptophyta; Magnoliopsida; Poales; Poaceae. The transcript is spliced from 4 exons.